Molecule: ribosomal RNA, 191 nt
Filed under: uncultured Methylomirabilota bacterium
Lineage: Bacteria; Methylomirabilota (SeqCode)
Description: uncultured candidate division NC10 bacterium partial 16S ribosomal RNA
Rfam family: Bacterial small subunit ribosomal RNA
Source: RNAcentral
AUGAAAGAACCGCGAGGUGGAGCUAAUCCCUAAAAGCCGGUCUAAUGUUCAGAUUGCAGUCUGCAACUCGACUGCAUGAAGGAGGAAUCGCUAGUAAUCGCGCAUCAGCACGGCGCGGUGAAUACGUUCCCGGGCCUUGUACACACCGCCCGUCACACCACGAAAGCCGGCUGUACUCGAAGUCGCUGAGA